UCCCCCGUGGCGCAAUUGGCUAGCGCGUCAGACUGUUAUUCCGACAGAGCAUCUGGAGGCUGGUAGUUCAUGCCCACCCGGGGGAG
This 86-nucleotide transfer RNA is filed under the name Lasiosphaeris hirsuta. It matches the Rfam family "tRNA". From Rfam's summary of the family: Transfer RNA (tRNA) molecules are approximately 80 nucleotides in length. The record is from Rfam by way of RNAcentral. Lineage: Eukaryota; Fungi; Ascomycota; Sordariomycetes; Sordariales; Lasiosphaeriaceae.